UUUCUGCCUGGUGAUUGGCUGCAUCGCCUGCCGUUGGCUUCAUAAGUCCCGCCUCACAGAUGAUAAGGAGGCAGGGCUUUCCUUACCCCCUCUACCUGCAGAUCAUGUGACUGUGACUCUAAGCCCCUCCCCUUCCAUCAACACUCUGCCAAUCAAACAGCAGUAUGAGGAGCUGGACGGAGACGUGCUGGACUAUCCCUCAUUUAACAGCAGCUCGACGCCGUCAGAAGACGAUCUUUCUUUACCAUCUUAUCCUCACAAGUCUCGUUUCAAUCUACGGCGGCUCAGCUCCCCCGCCGUUCCCUACAAACCCUCUAAACCUGUCCGUGGUCGUUCCUCGCUCCCGACCAUUCCUAAGCUCGGCCUGGUUGGGAAGUCGUGCCGGGCGGUUGAUCACAAAAGCAGUGACAACGUUUCGUUUUCAGAAAGGAGCAGGCUGAACGCCGACAGCGGCCAACAUUACGGCUCCGGCUCUCAAAAACCCACACCUUCCCUUCACUUCACCCUUCUGUUCUCACCAGCUGAGGGCAAACUCACCAUCACCGUUCUGGGUCUCUACCGGGGCUCUAGGAAACUGAGCAGGACUACGGUUAGGGCCUGUCUGCCUCCGCUCUGCCCCACGCCGCUUCAGGGCGGCCCGACGCGCAGACACAGCCUCGGUCCGGAGGCUCCAGCACAGGUGUUCCAGCUGCAGGUGAGGUCGGCAGAGGAGCUUCAGCACUGCACGCUCAGGCUGACCGUGUCCAGCAGGGAUUUCUCAGGUCUGAGGGAGACGGCUGUGGGUGAACUCGAACUGGCAUGUGCUGAAAUCCACUGGGAACCCGACUGCACCGUCACCUUUAAUCGUCAACUCAACCCUGUGAGGAGGAGGCUGAGGAAGAGUCAGAGUUCCCAGGAUGCAGUGGGGGACGUCGGGGCUUCUGCUUGUCCGGUGCGCUUUCUGGGUCAGAUCCUGAUUCUGCUGCAGUAUCAGACGCUGGCGCAUCGCAUGAAGGUGAUGGUGAGGAAAGCUGAGAACCUCCCCA
RNAcentral lists this long non-coding RNA (1025 nucleotides) under Sinocyclocheilus anshuiensis. Its description in RNAcentral is "lncRNA (ENSSANG00000040119.1)". Lineage: Eukaryota; Metazoa; Chordata; Actinopteri; Cypriniformes; Cyprinidae. The record is from RNAcentral.